Molecule: transfer RNA, 90 nt
Filed under: Clostridium oryzae
Lineage: Bacteria; Bacillati; Bacillota; Clostridia; Eubacteriales; Clostridiaceae
Also listed under: 1 other name
Description: tRNA-Ser
Rfam family: tRNA
About the family: Transfer RNA (tRNA) molecules are approximately 80 nucleotides in length. Their secondary structure includes four short double-helical elements and three loops (D, anti-codon, and T loops). Further hydrogen bonds mediate the characteristic L-shaped molecular structure. tRNAs have two regions of fundamental functional importance: the anti-codon, which is responsible for specific mRNA codon recognition, and the 3' end, to which the tRNAs corresponding amino acid is attached (by aminoacyl-tRNA synthetases). tRNAs cope with the degeneracy of the genetic code in two manners: having more than one tRNA (with a specific anti-codon) for a particular amino acid; and 'wobble' base-pairing, i.e. permitting non-standard base-pairing at the 3rd anti-codon position.
Source: RNAcentral
GGAGAGAUGUCUGAGCGGUUGAAGGAGCACGCCUGGAAAGCGUGUGUAGGGGCAACCCUACCGGGGGUUCGAAUCCCCCUCUCUCCGCCA